This 507-nucleotide long non-coding RNA is filed under the name Lathyrus oleraceus (garden pea). RNAcentral's name for it is "Pisum sativum (pea) long non-coding RNA (PSAT_LNC033521)". Lineage: Eukaryota; Viridiplantae; Streptophyta; Magnoliopsida; Fabales; Fabaceae. The record is from RNAcentral.
GAAAACAUCAAAUAAAAGAAAGCUCGUUAUCACUCUAGCAGAAAGGUUGGCAAGACAUCGUUGUAGUUGAAGGGUGAACUGACGUGGUAAUGAAAUGAAGUCAUGGGAGUUGUGUUCGCGUCGGUUUUGUUGAGGUAGAGAACACCUCAUAUGGUGGCUGGCCGCGAUUCAGAUGGUGAAAAGGUGGAGCUUGGCUUAUGGUGUGAUUUGUGGAAGAGUUUAGUGAAGUCUUAGUGAGUGAAAACUGAAAGUUAUGUAUGAGAGAAAUGUGGUAAAGAUAUGAAGAAAAUAAGUUUUGUGUGGUAGUUUUAUGGUGAAUAAUAAUGUAGUUACAAGGUGAUGAUGAAGUAAGAAGAAUAAGUAUGUUGAUGUUGGUUUUGAUUCAAACAUGAAGGAGGAAGUUUAUUAAUUGGUACGUUGUGAAUGAAGUUUAAGAUGGACAUGUGAAGGUGAGCAAAGUUGGUGUAGUGGUGAUGUUGUUGUAUGAAGAAGAAUAUGUGUGUUUAA